UAAUAGCUCACUGGUCAAGUGAUUUCGCGCCGACAAUGUAACGGGGCUCAAGCACGCCACCGACGUUCUGUCAUUCACACAUCAUCCAGGUCGCAAGAUCCAGGAGUGUGGAUGGGUAGGAGAGCGUCGUGCAACUAGUGAAGCGGUGGAGGAAUCCAACCGUGGAAGUUGCACGAGUGAGAAUGUAGACAUGAGUAGCGAAAGAUGGGUGAGAAACCCGUCCGCCGAAUGACCAAGGGUUCCUGGGCCAGGCUAAUCCGCCCAGGGUAAGUCGGGACCUAAGGCGAGGCCGUCAGGCGUAGUCGAUGGACAACUGGUUGAUAUUCCAGUACCCGCUUUAAUUCGCCCAUAACGAAUCCACUAAUGCUAAGAGUCUGAAUCCUGUUCGGCGUAAGCCGCGUGGGUGGAUGGCUCGAACCGGUGUGGUAGUAGUUAAGCAAUGGUGUGACACAGGAAGGCAGUCCAACCCGGGCGAUGGUUGUCCCGGGGUAAGGUGGUAGGGAGUGAUGUAGGUAAAUCCGCAUCACAUAUAUCCUGAGAGCUGAUGCCGAGCCGUAAGGCGAAGUGGAUGAUCCUAUGCUGUCAAGAAAAGCAUCUAGCGAGAAUUAUUGCGGCCCGUACCCGAAACCGACACAGGUGGUCAGGUAGAGAAUACCAAGGCGAUCGAGAGAAUCAUGGAUAAGGAACUCGGCAAAAUGCCCCCGUAACUUCGGGAGAAGGGGGGCCCUUCGACGUGUAGGAAUUUACUUCCGAAGCGUUGGAAGGCCGCAGAGACCAGGCUCAAGCGACUGUUUACCAAAAACACAGGUCCGUGCGAAGUUGCAAUACGAUGUAUACGGACUGACGCCUGCCCGGUGCUGGAAGGUUAAGGGGACUGGUUAGCCGCAAGGCGAAGCUGAGAACUUAAGCCCCAGUAAACGGCGGUGGUAACUAUAACCAUCCUAAGGUAGCGAAAUUCCUUGUCGGGUAAGUUCCGACCUGCACGAAUGGCGUAACGACUUGAGCGCUGUCUCCACCAUGAACUCGGCGAAAUUGCAUUACGAGUAAAGAUGCUCGUUACGCGCGGAAAGACGGAAAGACCCCGGGACCUUUACUAUAUCUUGAUAUUGGUACUCGGAACGUUCUGUGUAGCAUAGGUGGGAGACUUUGAAGCGGCACGCCAGUGUUCGUGGAGUCAAAAAAUGAAAUACCACUCUGAACGUUUUGAGUUUCUAACCUCGGCCCAUUAUCUGGGUCAGGGACAGUGUCUGGUGGGUAGUUUAACUGGGGCGGUUGCCUCCCAAAAAGUAACGGAGGCGCUCAAAGGUUCCCUCAGCCUGGUUGGUAAUCAGGUGUCGAGUG
This 1341-nucleotide ribosomal RNA is filed under the name marine metagenome. RNAcentral's name for it is "bacterial LSU rRNA". It matches the Rfam family "Bacterial large subunit ribosomal RNA", at positions 1135 to 2351 of the family's 2925-position model. The record is from RNAcentral.